GUCCACGCCGUAAACUAUGUCUACUAGCCGUUGGGAGACUUGAUCUCUUAGUGGCGCAGCUAACGCGAUAAGUAGACCGCCUGGGGAGUACGGUCGCAAGACUAAAACUCAAAUGAAUUGACGGGGGCCCGCACAAGCGGUGGAGCAUGUGGUUUAAUUCGAUGCAACGCGAAGAACCUUACCAGGUCUUGACAUCCUGCGAACCUUUCAGAGAUGAGAGGGUGCCUUCGGGAGCGCAGAGACAGGUGCUGCAUGGCUGUCGU
RNAcentral lists this ribosomal RNA (263 nucleotides) under uncultured bacterium. RNAcentral's name for it is "partial 16S ribosomal RNA". It matches the Rfam family "Bacterial small subunit ribosomal RNA", at positions 793 to 1055 of the family's 1533-position model. The record is from RNAcentral.